RNAcentral lists this transfer RNA (70 nucleotides) under Osteocephalus vilarsi. Its description in RNAcentral is "tRNA-Asp". It matches the Rfam family "tRNA". Rfam says of the family: Transfer RNA (tRNA) molecules are approximately 80 nucleotides in length. Their secondary structure includes four short double-helical elements and three loops (D, anti-codon, and T loops). Further hydrogen bonds mediate the characteristic L-shaped molecular structure. tRNAs have two regions of fundamental functional importance: the anti-codon, which is responsible for specific mRNA codon recognition, and the 3' end, to which the tRNAs corresponding amino acid is attached (by aminoacyl-tRNA synthetases). tRNAs cope with the degeneracy of the genetic code in two manners: having more than one tRNA (with a specific anti-codon) for a particular amino acid; and 'wobble' base-pairing, i.e. permitting non-standard base-pairing at the 3rd anti-codon position. Lineage: Eukaryota; Metazoa; Chordata; Amphibia; Anura; Hylidae. The record is from RNAcentral.
GGGAUAUUAGUUAAACAAUAACACCACCUUGUCAAGAUGAAGUUAUGGGUUAGACCCCCAUAUGUCCCCC